RNAcentral lists this ribosomal RNA (498 nucleotides) under uncultured bacterium. RNAcentral describes it as "partial 16S ribosomal RNA". It matches the Rfam family "Bacterial small subunit ribosomal RNA", at positions 30 to 523 of the family's 1533-position model. The record is from RNAcentral.
AUUGAACGCUGGCGGCAUGCCUUACGCAUGCAAGUCGAACGGUAACAGGUCUUCGGAUGCUGACGAGUGGCGAACGGGUGAGUAAUACAUCGGAACGUGCCUAGUAGUGGGGGAUAACUACUCGAAAGAGUGGCUAAUACCGCAUGAGAUCUACGGAUGAAAGCAGGGGAUCGCAAGACCUUGUGCUACUAGAGCGGCCGAUGGCAGAUUAGGUAGGUGGUGGGAUAAAAGCUUACCAAGCCGACGAUCUGUAGCUGGUCUGAGAGGACGAUCCGCAACACUGGGACUGAGACACGGCCCAGACUCCUACGGGAGGCAGCAGUGGGGAAUUUUGGACAAUGGGCGAAAGCCUGAUCCAGCAAUGCCGCGUGCAGGAUGAAGGCCUUCGGGUUGUAAACUGCUUUUGUACGGAACGAAAAGCCCCGGGUUAAUACCCUGGGGUCAUGACGGUACCGUAAGAAUAAGCACCGGCUAACUACGUGCCAGCCGCCACGGUAA